This 402-nucleotide ribosomal RNA is filed under the name uncultured Enterococcaceae bacterium. RNAcentral describes it as "bacterial SSU rRNA". It matches the Rfam family "Bacterial small subunit ribosomal RNA", at positions 87 to 475 of the family's 1533-position model. Lineage: Bacteria; Bacillati; Bacillota; Bacilli; Lactobacillales; Enterococcaceae. The record is from RNAcentral.
AAAGAGGAGUGGCGAACGGGUGAGUAACACGUGGGUAACCUGCCCAUCAGAAGGGGAUAACACUUGGAAACAGGUGCUAAUACCGUAUAACAAUCGAAACCGCAUGGUUUUGAUUUGAAAGGCGCUUUCGGGUGUCGCUGAUGGAUGGACCCGCGGUGCAUUAGCUAGUUGGUGAGGUAACGGCUCACCAAGGCCACGAUGCAUAGCCGACCUGAGAGGGUGAUCGGCCACAUUGGGACUGAGACACGGCCCAAACUCCUACGGGAGGCAGCAGUAGGGAAUCUUCGGCAAUGGACGAAAGUCUGACCGAGCAACGCCGCGUGAGUGAAGAAGGUUUUCGGAUCGUAAAACUCUGUUGUUAGAGAAGAACAAGGAUGAGAGUAACUGUUCAUCCCUUGACGG